GAGUAACGGAGGAGCACGAAGGUUAGCUAAUCCUGGUCGGACAUCAGGAGGUUAGUGCAAUGGCAUAAGCUAGCUUGACUGCGAGCGUGACGGCGCGAGCAGGUGCGAAAGCAGGUCAUAGUGAUCCGGUGGUUCUGAAUGGAAGGGCCAUCGCUCAACGGAUAAAAGGUACUCCGGGGAUAACAGGCUGAUACCGCCCAAGAGUUCAUAUCGACGGCGGUGUUUGGCACCUCGAUGUCGGCUCAUCACAUCCUGGGGCUGAAGUAGGUCCCAAGGGUAUGGCUGUUCGCCAUUUAAAGUGGUACGCGAGCUGGGUUUAGAACGUCGUGAGACAGUUCGGUCCCUAUCUGCCGUGGGCGCUGGAGAAUUGAGGGGGGCUGCUCCUAGUACGAGAGGACCGGAGUGGACGCAUCACUGGUGUUCGGGUUGUCAUGCCAAUGGCAUUGCCCGGUAGCUAAAUGCGGAAGAGAUAAGUGCUGAAAGCAUCUAAGCACGAAACUUGCCCCGAGAUGAGUUCUCCCUGAGACUUUAAGUCUCCUGAAGGAACGUUAAAGACGAUGACGUUGAUAGGUCGGGUGUGUAAGCGUAGCGAUACGUUGAGCUAACCGAUACUAAUGAACCGUGAGGCUUAACCUU
Molecule: ribosomal RNA, 636 nt
Filed under: Klebsiella aerogenes
Lineage: Bacteria; Pseudomonadati; Pseudomonadota; Gammaproteobacteria; Enterobacterales; Enterobacteriaceae
Description: partial 23S ribosomal RNA
Rfam family: Bacterial large subunit ribosomal RNA
Source: RNAcentral